RNAcentral lists this ribosomal RNA (490 nucleotides) under uncultured bacterium. RNAcentral's name for it is "partial 16S ribosomal RNA". It matches the Rfam family "Bacterial small subunit ribosomal RNA", at positions 29 to 507 of the family's 1533-position model. The record is from RNAcentral.
AGUGAACGCUGGCGGUAGGCCUAUCACAUGCAAGUCGAACGGCAGCACAGGAGAGCUUGCUCUCUGGGUGGCGAGUGGCGGACGGGUGAGGAAUACAUCGGAAUCUGCCCAGUCGUGGGGGAUAACGUAGGGAAACUUACGCUAAUACCGCAUACGACCUUCGGGUGAAAGAGGGGGAUCGCAAGACCUCUCGCGAUUGGAUGAGCCGAUGUCGGAUUAGCUAGUUGGCGGGGUAAUGGCCCACCAAGGCGACGAUCCGUAGCUGGUCUGAGAGGAUGAUCAGCCACACUGGAACUGAGACACGGUCCAGACUCCUACGGGAGGCAGCAGUGGGGAAUAUUGGACAAUGGGCGCAAGCCUGAUCCAGCCAUACCGCGUGGGUGAAGAAGGCCUUCGGGUUGUAAAGCCCUUUUGUUGGGAAAGAAAUCUUUCAGGCUAAUACCCUGGGAGGAUGACGGUACCCAAAGAAUAAGCACCGGCUAACUUCGUG